UACGUAGGCAGCAAGCGUUGUUCGGAAUUACUGGGCGUAAAGCGUGCGCAGGCGGUUCGUUAAGUCAGCUGUGAAAGCCCCGGGCUCAACCUGGGAAUUGCGGUUGAAACUGGCGGACUAGAAUCUGGCAGAGGGGGGUGGAAUUCCACGUGUAGCAGUGAAAUGCGUAGAGAUGUGGAGGAACACCGAUGGCGAAGGCAGCCCCCUGGGCUGAGAUUGACGCUCAGGCACGAAAGCGUGGGGAGCAAACAGG
This 253-nucleotide ribosomal RNA is filed under the name uncultured bacterium. RNAcentral's name for it is "partial 16S ribosomal RNA". It matches the Rfam family "Bacterial small subunit ribosomal RNA", at positions 524 to 776 of the family's 1533-position model. The record is from RNAcentral.